GACGUAGGGUGCAAGCGUUGUCCGGAAUUAUUGGGCGUAAAGAGUUCGUAGGCGGUUACUUAAGUCUGGUGUUAAAGCCCGAUGCUCAACGUCGGCAUGGCAUUGGAAACUGGGUAGCUAGAGUGUGUCAGAGGUUACGGGAAUUCCUGGUGUAGCGGUGAAAUGCGUAGAUAUCAGGAGGAACACCUGUGGCGAAAGCGCGUAACUGGGGCAUAACUGACGCUGAGGAACGAAAGCGUGGGGAGCGAACAGG
RNAcentral lists this ribosomal RNA (253 nucleotides) under uncultured bacterium. RNAcentral's name for it is "partial 16S ribosomal RNA". It matches the Rfam family "Bacterial small subunit ribosomal RNA", at positions 524 to 776 of the family's 1533-position model. The record is from RNAcentral.